AUGCCUGCUUUCUUGCUCUGUGUUUGUUUGCCUAAAAAGGCCACUCAUGUGACUAACCCAGGGCAAAAGAAGGCUCACCUCUCCUGGACAAAUUAUUUGAAAACUAUUCAUCCAUGCACACCCAUUUUUAAAAUCCUGGACAAAACUUUUUUGGCCAGCUUCUGUUUUAAGGAGAAGGGAGCUGGUGCCAGAAAGAAGUUGAAAAUGUCACUCUCUCUGCCUUGUGGAAUUGGGACAAGUAUUGUUCUGGGAAGAAGUGAGAAAAAGGUGGAUUGA
RNAcentral lists this long non-coding RNA (276 nucleotides) under Canis lupus familiaris (dog). RNAcentral's name for it is "lncRNA (ENSCAFG00845010420.1)". Lineage: Eukaryota; Metazoa; Chordata; Mammalia; Carnivora; Canidae. The record is from RNAcentral.